GGCCCCGUAGCAUAGCCUGGUAGUGCGCACGACUGAUAAUCGUGAGGUCCCGUGUUCAAAUCACGGCGGGGCCA
RNAcentral lists this transfer RNA (74 nucleotides) under archaeon. RNAcentral's name for it is "tRNA-Ile". It matches the Rfam family "tRNA". From Rfam's summary of the family: Transfer RNA (tRNA) molecules are approximately 80 nucleotides in length. Their secondary structure includes four short double-helical elements and three loops (D, anti-codon, and T loops). The record is from RNAcentral.